AGUGAACGCUGGCGGUAGGCCUAACACAUGCAAGUCGAACGGCAGCACAGUAAGAGCUUGCUCUUACGGGUGGCGAGUGGCGGACGGGUGAGGAAUACAUCGGAAUCUACUUUUUCGUGGGGGAUAACGUAGGGAAACUUACGCUAAUACCGCAUACGACCUACGGGUGAAAGCAGGGGAUCUUCGGACCUUGCGCGAUUGAAUGAGCCGAUGUCGGAUUAGCUAGUUGGCGGGGUAAAGGCCCACCAAGGCGUCGAUCCGUAGCUGGUCUGAGAGGAUGAUCAGCCACACUGGAACUGAGACACGGUCCAGACUCCUACGGGAGGCAGCAGUGGGGUAUAUUGGACAAUGGGCGCAAGCCUGAUCCAGCCAUACCGCGUGGGUGAAGAAGGCCUUCGGGUUGUAAAGCCCUUUUGUUGGGAAAGAAAAGCAGCAGGUUAAUACCCCGCUGUUCUGACGGUACCCAAAGAAUAAGCACCGGCUAACUUCGUG
Molecule: ribosomal RNA, 492 nt
Filed under: uncultured bacterium
Lineage: Bacteria
Description: partial 16S ribosomal RNA
Rfam family: Bacterial small subunit ribosomal RNA
Source: RNAcentral